GCCCCAGACUCCUACGGGAGGCAGCAGUGGGGAAUAUUGCACAAUGGGGGAAACCCUGAUGCAGCGACGCCGCGUGAGCGAUGAAGUAUUUCGGUAUGUAAAGCUCUAUCAGCAGGGAAGAAGAUGACGGUACCUGAGUAAGAAGCCCCGGCUAACUACGUGCCAGCAGCCGCGGUAAUACGUAGGGGGCAAGCGUUAUCCGGAUUUACUGGGUGUAAAGGGAGCGUAGACGGCGAAGAAAGUCUGAAGUGAAAGCCCGCGGCGCAACCGCGGAAUGGCUUUGGAAACUUUUUUGCUGGAGUACCGGAGAGGUAAGCGGAAUUCCUAGUGUAGCGGUGAAAUGCGUAGAUAUUAGGAGGAACACCAGUGGCGAAGGCGGCCUGCUGGGCUUUUACUGACGCUGAGGCUCGAAAGUGUGGGGAGCAAACAGGAUUAGAUACCCCGGUACAA
Molecule: ribosomal RNA, 450 nt
Filed under: uncultured bacterium
Lineage: Bacteria
Description: bacterial SSU rRNA
Rfam family: Bacterial small subunit ribosomal RNA
Source: RNAcentral